Molecule: ribosomal RNA, 360 nt
Filed under: uncultured bacterium
Lineage: Bacteria
Description: bacterial SSU rRNA
Rfam family: Bacterial small subunit ribosomal RNA
Source: RNAcentral
AACGAACGCUGGCGGCAGGCCUAACACAUGCAAGUCGAACGCUCGUAGCAAUACGAGAGUGGCAGACGGGUGAGUAACACGUGGGAACCUUCCCUAUGGUUCGGAAUAGCUCAGGGAAACUUGGGGUAAUACCGGAUAAGCCCUUCGGGGGAAAGGAUUUAUCGCCAUUGGAUGGGCCCGCGUCGGAUUAGCUAGUUGGUGAGGUAACGGCUCACCAAGGCAACGAUCCGUAGCUGGUCGNGAGAGGAUGAUCAGCCACACUGGGACUGAGACACGGCCCAGACUCCUACGGGAGGCAGCAGUGGGGAAUAUUGGACAAUGGGCGCAAGCCUGAUCCAGCCAUGCCGCGUGAGUGACGAA